RNAcentral lists this ribosomal RNA (1438 nucleotides) under uncultured prokaryote. RNAcentral describes it as "partial 16S ribosomal RNA". It matches the Rfam family "Bacterial small subunit ribosomal RNA". The record is from RNAcentral.
AGAGUUUGAUCCUAGCUCAGGGUGAACGCUAGCGGUGCGCCUAACACAUGCAAGUCGAGCGGUAGUAGAGAAAAGCUUGCUUUUUUCUAUGAGAGCGGCGAACGGGUGAGUAAUACGUUGGUAUCUGCCUCAAAGUCAGGGAUAGCUCAUCGAAAGAUGAAUUAAUACCGGAUAGUCUCUACGGAGUAAAAAUUUAUUGCUUUGAGAGGAGCCUACGUUCUAUCAGCUUGUUGGUAAGGUAAAAGCUUACCAAGGCUAUGACGGAUAACUGGUCUGAGAGGAUGAUCAGUCACAAUGGAACUGAGACACGGUCCAUACUCCUACGGGAGGCAGCAGUGAGGAAUCUUCCACAAUGGACGAAAGUCUGAUGGAGCGACACCGCGUGAAGGAUGAAGGUCUAACGAUUGUAAACUUCUUUUCUGAGGGAGCAUAAUGAGAGUACCUCAGGAAUAAGGGACGGCUAAAUACGUGCCAGCAGCCGCGGUAAUACGUAUGUCCCAAGUGUUACCCGGAAUCACUGGGUGUAAAGGGUUCGUAGGCGGUUUAGUAAGUUGAAUAUUAAAGACCGAAGCUCAACUUCGUGUUUGUCUUCAAAACUGCUAAACUAGAAUCAGGGAGAGGUAAGCGGAAUUCUGAGUGUAGGGGUGCAAUCCGUAGAUACUCAGAGGAACACCAAAAGCGAAGGCAGCUUACUGGAACUGUAUUGACGCUCAUGAACGAAAGCGUGGGUAGCGAAAAGGAUUAGAUACCCUUGUAGUCCACGCCCUAAACGAUGAUAACUAAGUGUUGUGACUUGCUCGCAGUGCUGAAGCUAACGCGUUAAGUUAUCCACCUGAGGAGUACGGGCGCAAGCUUAAAACUCAAAGGAAUAGACGGGGACCCACACAAGCAGUGGAUCACGUGGUUUAAUUCGACAAUAAACGGGGAACCUUACCCAGACUUGACAUCUACCGAAUCUUCUAGAGAUAGAAGAGUGCUUUUAUUAGAGCGGUAAGACAGGUGCUGCAUGGUUGUCGUCAGCUCGUGCCUUGAGGUGUUCGGUUAAGUCCGUUAACGAGCGCAACCCAUGUCGUUAGUUAUUAUGUCUUGCGAGACUGCCUUGGUUAACAAGGAGGAAGGUGUGGAUGACGUCAAAUCAGCAUGGCUUUUACGUCUGGGGCUACACACAUGAUACAAUGGUCUGUACAAAGAGCAGCAAUACGGUAACGUUGAGCCAAUCUUUAAAGCAGAUCUCAGUCCGGAUUGAGGUCUGAAAUUCGACCUCAUGAAGUUGGAAUUGCUAGUAAUCGUGAAUCAGAUAUGUCACGGUGAAUAUGUUCCUGGGUCUUGUACUCACCGCCCGUCAUGGCAUGGAAGGUAAUAAUAUCGGAAGUUCCCUCAGUAAUAGAGGGGCCCAUGGUAGGAUUACUGACUGGGCUAAAGUCGUAACAAGGUAACC